UUAGGUAUGAGUAACGAUAAAAGUAGUGAAAAACUACUUCGCCGAAAGACUAAGGGUUCCUGAUCAACGUUAAUCGGAUCAGGGUUAGUCGGGACCUAAGGCAAACCCGAAAGGGGUAGUCGAUGGAAAGUUGGUUAAUAUUCCAACACUUGUUUUAGUUUCGAUGGGGUGACGGAGAAGUGAAAGGCCCGCGGGAUUACGGAAUAUCCCGUUAAAGCGUGUAGGUAUAUUUUGGGUAGGCAAAUCCGCCCGGAAUGCUGAACGUGAUAGUACUCAAAGGCUUCGGCCGGCGAGAUAGUGGCCCUAAACCUGCUCACGAGAAAAACCUCUAAGGCUAGGCUAAGACAACCCGUACCGUAAACCGACACAGGUAGUCGAGAUGAGUAUUCUAAGGCGCUCGGGUGAGCCGUGGAGAAGGAACUAGGCAAAUUGUGGCUGUAACUUCGGGAUAAAGCCAUCCGCAGCGAUGCGGAUUCAAUAAAAUGGUUCAACCAACUGUUUAGCAAAAACACAGGGCCCUGCAAAAUCGAAAGAUGACGUAUAGAGCCUGAUACCUGCCCGGUGCUGGAAGGUUAAGGAAGCUUGUCAGGAGCAAUCCGAAGCUUGCGACCGAAGCCCCAGUAAACGGCGGCCGUAACAAUAACGGUCCUAAGGUAGCGAAAUUCCUUGUCGGGUAAGUUCCGACCUGCACGAAUGGUCUAAUGAGUUGAACACUGUCUCCUCCACGAGCCCGGUGAAAUUGUAGUAUCGGUGAAGAUGCCGGUUACCCGCCACGGGACGGAAAGACCCCGUGAACCUUCACUACAACUUUACAUUGAUUUUGAGUAACAGAUGUGUAGCAUAGUUGGGAGACUUUGAAGCAGGUGCGCCAGCACUUGUGGAGUCAACGUUGAAAUACCAACCUUCUGUUGCUUAGAGUCUAACCCGCGAGGGGACAUUGUAUGGUGGGUAGUUUGACUGGGGUGGUCGCCUCCUAAAAAGUAACGGAGGCUCGCAAAGGUACCCUCAGUACGGUUGGUAAUCGUACGAAGAGCGCAUUAGUAAAAGGGUGCUUGACUGUGAGGCUGACCAGCCGAGCAGGUGCGAAAGCAGGCUAAAGUGAUCCGGUGGUUCUGUAUGGAAGGGCCAUCGCUCAAAGGAUAAAAGGUACUCCGGAUAACAGGCUGAUCUCCCCCAAGAGCUCAUAUCGACGGGGAGGUUUGGCACCUCGAUGUCGGUUCGUCACAUCCUGGGGCUGGAGAAGGUCCCAAGGGUUCGGCUGUUCGCCGAUUAAAGUGGCACGUGAACUGGGUUCAGAACGUCGCAAGACAGUUCGGUCCCUAUCUGUGGUGGGCGUUAGUAAAUUGCGAGGACAUGCUCUUAGUACGAGAGGACCGGAGCGUAUGUGCCGCUGGUGUAUCGGUUGUGCCGCCAGGUGCAGUGCCGAGUAGUUAUGCACAGCCAGGAUAAGCGCUGAAAGCAUCUAAGCGCGAAACCUUCCUCAAGAUGAGUUUACUUUUAAGGGUCGUCAGAGACUAUGACGUUGAUAGGCUACAGGUGUAAAGGUGGUAACAUCAAAGCCGAGUAGUACUAAUUACCCGUAAGCUUUAAUG
This 1592-nucleotide ribosomal RNA is filed under the name metagenome. RNAcentral describes it as "bacterial LSU rRNA". It matches the Rfam family "Bacterial large subunit ribosomal RNA", at positions 1296 to 2925 of the family's 2925-position model. The record is from RNAcentral.